Molecule: ribosomal RNA, 373 nt
Filed under: uncultured Glomeromycotina
Lineage: Eukaryota; Fungi; Glomeromycota
Description: LSU rRNA
Source: RNAcentral
UUGAAAGGGAAACGAUUGAAGUCAGUCGUACCGGCGGAUAAUCAACCUUUCGGCGUGAUUAUGUGGAGCGUGAGGAGUUAAUCACUUUCAUGCCUGCAUAUUCGUGUAUUUUGGGUGUACUUAUCUGUAUGGUAGGUUAACAUCAAUUUUGGUCGUUAUAAAAUGACUGGGGAAAUGUGGCUUUGAUUUCGUAUUGAAGUGUUAUAGUCUCUGGUAGAUAUAGUGACCGGGAUUGAGGAUUGCAACGGAUACCCUUUCGGGGCUACUCGUCUGAUCUCUGAUCGUUACUCUGGUGCUGAAAGCUUGCUUACGGUUAUCAAAGUUGACGUUCAACAGGUUAGAACGGGAUAAAUUCGUUAAGGAUGUUGACGUA